GUGCCAGCAGCCGCGGUAAUACGGGGGGGGUAAGCGUUGUUCGGAAUUACUGGGCGUAAAGGGCUCGUAGGCGGCCAACUAAGUCAUACGUGAAAUCCCUCAGCUUAACUGGGGAACUGCGUGUGAUACUGGAUGGCUUGGAUUUGGGAGAGGGAUGCGGAAUUCCAGGUGUAGCGGUGAAAUGCGUAGAUAUCUGGAGGAACACCGGUGGCGAAGGCGGCAUCCUGGACCAAUAUUGACGCUGAGGAGCGAAAGCCAGGGGAGCAAACGGGAUUAGAUACCCCAGUAGUCC
This 292-nucleotide ribosomal RNA is filed under the name uncultured bacterium. RNAcentral describes it as "partial 16S ribosomal RNA". It matches the Rfam family "Bacterial small subunit ribosomal RNA", at positions 505 to 796 of the family's 1533-position model. The record is from RNAcentral.